ACACACACACACACACACGUUUGGUCUGAACUGACUCACAAAGUCUCAAUGACAUUAUGUAUAUGAAGGAAUAUCCCCAUUUUGCAGAUGAGGAAACUGAGUCCCACCAUGGAUAAGGCAUGUAACAGGAAGUCAGAGGAUGAAUACAGCGGGUCAGAACCUAAGUAUCCUCGCCGUGCCACUUCCCCCUGCCUUAUGGGCCUGCUGAGAGGAAGACCACGGUCUCCCCUCUGCGUGCUGACUUCAUCCCAGGGUCCCAGACAUCAUGGCUGUCAAUGUGCUGGGGCCGGGGGAACCUCUGCAAGAACUCAUCUGUAAAUGCACGGACAGUAGCUGAGGAAGUAUGGGCCUUUGAUGUGGCUCAAGGGCUGCCACGUGAGGAAUCGGAGCCAAGGGAGUCCUCAUUCAAGUUAUCAGGCUGGAGCUCUUUGAACACCAGAAGGAAGAGGGCAUUCAAGAGGAACGCCCCUCCAGCCCGUGGGAGAAGAUUGGGGACGAUAAGGCACCCCGACGCCCUCGACCACAUCAAAGCUAAGGCAGGGACACCCCUGCCCAGGCCUCGAGGCUGAAGUUGCUUCCCAAGGACACUGUGAAACAUGUGGAGACGGACGGACCAUCCCUGCAGCCCUUGAGGACUUCUUUUGAUGUGUGGACUCCAGCCAGCAGGACAAAGGCUGGCCGCUGGCGGACGGAUUGGCCCCUUGGCUGCCAGGUCUGCCUCUGAGACUCGCCCUCACACAGGUUCAUCACCCAGACAGGAGAGAGUGAACGUGAAAGCUCGUCUAGGCCACUGGCAGGCCCCGUCAGUAGAUAGUGCACAUCCCUCUACCGUGGUGACAACUCUGAUAUUCUCUCGCCGGAUGA
This is a long non-coding RNA of Phacochoerus africanus (Common warthog), 864 nucleotides long. RefSeq lists it as uncharacterized. The record is from RefSeq and is a predicted model, not a curated record. NCBI's taxonomy places the organism in Eukaryota, Metazoa, Chordata, Mammalia, Artiodactyla, Suidae. The transcript is spliced from 3 exons.